Molecule: transfer RNA, 73 nt
Filed under: Deltaproteobacteria bacterium
Lineage: Bacteria; Pseudomonadati; Myxococcota; Myxococcia
Also listed under: 4 other names
Description: tRNA-Asn
Rfam family: tRNA
About the family: Transfer RNA (tRNA) molecules are approximately 80 nucleotides in length. Their secondary structure includes four short double-helical elements and three loops (D, anti-codon, and T loops).
Source: RNAcentral
UGGGGUGUAGCUCAAUCGGCAGAGCGCCCGGCUGUUAACCGGGAGGUUGCUGGUUCGACCCCAGCCGCCCCAG